This 1317-nucleotide ribosomal RNA is filed under the name Triticum aestivum (bread wheat). RNAcentral's name for it is "partial small subunit ribosomal RNA". Lineage: Eukaryota; Viridiplantae; Streptophyta; Magnoliopsida; Poales; Poaceae. The record is from RNAcentral.
AUGUCGGGCCUUACAAUCAACUUCGCUAAGAGCGAAGUGAUGGUGAUGGGCUAUUCCCCCGCGGAGAGCCAGACAAUAGCCAACCGACUCAACUGUCAGUUAAGCUCCUUCCCCACCACCUACCUGGGGAUUCCCAUUAGUGACUCUCGGCUCUCCGUCGCAGACUUGAGACCUUCAAUGCUCAAGCUCCAUCACCGUAUCAAGCCCUGGCAGGGUAGAUGGCUGUCUAAGGCAGCGCGGACGAUUCUCAUUAACUCAUCCUUGUCCAGCCUACUCCUGUUCAUCAUGAGCUUCUACAGCUUGCCCGAGACGCUCCACCAUGAGAUCAGCACGGUCCAAGCACGUUUUUUCUGGGCCGGCGAGGGUGAUAAGCAGAAAUAUCAUAUGGUGCGUUGGACCGACAUCUGCAAACCUCGGGACCAGGGCGGACUCGGGAUCAUGUCCUCCAAACGGAUGAACAUUGCUCUCCUGACACGUUGGCUAUGGCGGAUCGCCAAUGGGGAGGGUGGGCUGCGGCUGCAUAUCAUCCGGAACAAAUACCUGCGCGGUCAGCCGCUCGCCAUCUGCCAGCGGUCUGGGGGCUCCCAGUUCUCGCAAUCUAUCAUCCAGUUGGUCCCGGUCCUCCUCAUCGAGACCUCCAUUACAGUGGGCACAGGGACCGCCACCCUUUUCUGGUUUGACAGGUGGGCUAGGGAUGCCCCCUUCGCGGCUCGUUUCCCAGACCUGUUCUCCAUCGCGGUGGACCCUCGGGUCUCACUUGAGGCGGCCCUUAUUGACUUAGGGCGCCUCACGUUCCGGCGGCCACUUGGGCCCCCGGAAAUAGCCGCUUGGCACGAGCUCCUAGACAUUGUGGCGCUCCACGAGCCGGACCUGGAGCUGGCGCACGACCGCCUAUCCUGGUACCUAGAGCCCUCGGCCAAAUUCUCCACGAAGUCCCUAUACUGGGCCACCGCUGCCACUCCAGGACCCGCGCCCCUAGAGACGAUCUGGCCGAUGAGACUCCCUCUGAAGAUCAGGAUCUUCCUAUGGCAAUGGAUCCGAGGGCGGGUGCCUUCUGGUGUGGAGGUGCUGAAGCGGAAUGUCCCGGGAGAUGGGACAUGUCCCUUGUGUGGGACGGAAGAAGACUCAAACCACAUCUUCUUCUCGUGUGUCUCCGCCCAGUUCCUCUGGAGUUGCCUACGUGAGGUAGUCGGUGGUCGUUGGUGUAACACCUCUUCGCCGAGCUCCAGGCCUCGCCCCCAGAGGGUCGCCACAUUAGGUGGCUGGCCAUUGGGGUCCUUGCGUGAAUGCUAUGGACGGUUCAAAAUAAGCUUGUGA